UACGAAGGGGGCUAGCGUUGUUCGGAAUCACUGGGCGUAAAGCGCACGUAGGCGGACUGUUAAGUCGGGGGUGAAAUCCUGGGGCUCAACCCCAGAACUGCCUCCGAUACUGGCGGUCUUGAGUGUGGGAGAGGUUGGUGGAACUCCGAGUGUAGAGGUGAAAUUCGUAGAUAUUCGGAAGAACACCAGUGGCGAAGGCGGCCAACUGGCCCAUUACUGACGCUGAGGUGCGAAAGCGUGGGGAGCAAACAGG
RNAcentral lists this unclassified non-coding RNA (253 nucleotides) under uncultured Alphaproteobacteria bacterium. RNAcentral's name for it is "contains 16S-23S intergenic spacer region". It matches the Rfam family "Bacterial small subunit ribosomal RNA", at positions 524 to 776 of the family's 1533-position model. The record is from RNAcentral. Lineage: Bacteria; Pseudomonadati; Pseudomonadota; Alphaproteobacteria.